This 123-nucleotide ribosomal RNA is filed under the name Fukomys damarensis (Damara mole-rat). The record is from RNAcentral. Lineage: Eukaryota; Metazoa; Chordata; Mammalia; Rodentia; Bathyergidae.
GUCUAUGGCCGUACCACCCUGAAUGCGGUGAAAUUGUCUGAUCUCCGAAGGUAAGCAGGGUCAGGCCUGGUUAGUACUUGAAUCAGGAGAACUUUUCAGUGCUGAUGUGAGAUCUGGGGGAUC